Molecule: ribosomal RNA, 440 nt
Filed under: uncultured bacterium
Lineage: Bacteria
Description: partial 16S ribosomal RNA
Rfam family: Bacterial small subunit ribosomal RNA
Source: RNAcentral
CCUACGGGUGACAGCAGUAGGGAAUAUUGCUCAAUGGGGGAAACCCUGAAGCAGCAACGCCGCGUGGAGGAUGAAGGUUUUCGGAUUGUAAACUCCUUUUGUUAGAGAAGAUAAUGACGGUAUCUAACGAAUAAGCACCGGCUAACUCCGUGCCAGCAGCCGCGGUAAUACGGAGGGUGCAAGCGUUACUCGGAAUCACUGGGCGGAAAGAGCGCGUAGGCGGGAUAGCAAGUCAGAUGUGAAAUCCUAUGGCUUAACCAUAGAACUGCAUUUGAAACUGUUAUUCUAGAGUAUGGGAGAGGUAGGUGGAAUUCUUGGUGUAGGGGUAAAAUCCGUAGAGAUCAAGAAGAAUACUCAUUGCGAAGGCGACCUGCUAGAACAUAACUGACGCUGAUGCGCGAAAGCGUGGGGAGCAAACAGGAUUAGAUACCCCGGUAGUC